CUGUAGCUCAGGGGUUAGAGUGCCCGGCUGAUAACCGGGUGAUCGUGGGUUCAAAUCCCACCAGG
Molecule: transfer RNA, 65 nt
Filed under: uncultured Methanobrevibacter sp.
Lineage: Archaea; Methanobacteriati; Methanobacteriota; Methanobacteria; Methanobacteriales; Methanobacteriaceae
Rfam family: tRNA
About the family: Transfer RNA (tRNA) molecules are approximately 80 nucleotides in length. Their secondary structure includes four short double-helical elements and three loops (D, anti-codon, and T loops). Further hydrogen bonds mediate the characteristic L-shaped molecular structure. tRNAs have two regions of fundamental functional importance: the anti-codon, which is responsible for specific mRNA codon recognition, and the 3' end, to which the tRNAs corresponding amino acid is attached (by aminoacyl-tRNA synthetases). tRNAs cope with the degeneracy of the genetic code in two manners: having more than one tRNA (with a specific anti-codon) for a particular amino acid; and 'wobble' base-pairing, i.e. permitting non-standard base-pairing at the 3rd anti-codon position.
Source: RNAcentral